AUUGAACGCUGGCGGCAUGCUUUACACAUGCAAGGUCGAACGGCAGCACGGGUGCUUGCACCUGGUGGCGAGUGGCGGACGGGUGAGUAAUGCAUCGGAACGUGUCCUGAAGUGGGGGAUAACGCAUCGAAAGAUGUGCUAAUACCGCAUAUUCUCUGAGGAGGAAAGUAGGGGAUCGAAAGACCUUAUGCUUUUGGAGCGGCCGAUGUCUGAUUAGCUAGUUGGUAGGGUAAUGGCUUACCAAGGCGACGAUCAGUAGUUGGUCUGAGAGGACGACCAGCCACACUGGGACUGAGACACGGCCCAGACUCCUACGGGAGGCAGCAGUGGGGAAUUUUGGACAAUGGGCGCAAGCCUGAUCCAGCAAUGCCGCGUGAGUGAAGAAGGCCUCGGUGUAAGACUCUUUCAGUUGUAGAGAAAAGUACGUAGACUAAUAAUACAU
This 442-nucleotide ribosomal RNA is filed under the name uncultured bacterium. Its description in RNAcentral is "bacterial SSU rRNA". It matches the Rfam family "Bacterial small subunit ribosomal RNA", at positions 30 to 469 of the family's 1533-position model. The record is from RNAcentral.